Non-coding RNA from Caerostris darwini, 86 nucleotides. Lineage: Eukaryota; Metazoa; Arthropoda; Arachnida; Araneae; Araneidae. The record is from the annotation of a GenBank genome assembly.
CGACGGCCGUACCAUGCUGAAUAUACCGGUUCUCGUUAGAUGAAAGAAGUCAAGCAUCAUUGGGCGCGGUCAGUACUUGAGUGGGA